CCUACGGGAGGCAGCAGUGGGGAAUAUUGCACAAUGGGGGAAACCCUGAUGCAGCGACGCCGCGUGAGUGAAGAAGUAAUUCGGUAUGUAAAGCUCUUUCAGCAGGGAAGAAAAUGAAGGUACCUGAGUCAGAAGCCCUGGCUAACUCCGUGCCAGCAGCCGCGGUAAUACGUAGGGGGCAAGCGUUAUCCGGAUUUACUGGGUGUAAAGGGAGCGUGGACGGCAGUGCAAGUCUGGAGUGAAAGGCGGGGGCUCAACCCCCGGACUGCUCUGGAAACUGUACGGCUGGAGUGCAGGAGAGGUAAGUGGAAUUCCUGGUGUAGCGGUGAAAUGCGUAGAUAUUAGGAGGAACACCAGUGGCGAAGGCGGCUUACUGGACUGUAACUGACGUUGAGGCUCGAAAGCGUGGGGAGCAAACAGGAUUAGAUACCCCGGUAGUC
RNAcentral lists this ribosomal RNA (440 nucleotides) under uncultured bacterium. RNAcentral describes it as "partial 16S ribosomal RNA". It matches the Rfam family "Bacterial small subunit ribosomal RNA", at positions 338 to 795 of the family's 1533-position model. The record is from RNAcentral.